RNAcentral lists this ribosomal RNA (466 nucleotides) under uncultured bacterium. RNAcentral describes it as "partial 16S ribosomal RNA". It matches the Rfam family "Bacterial small subunit ribosomal RNA", at positions 339 to 795 of the family's 1533-position model. The record is from RNAcentral.
CUACGGGGGGCUGCAGUAAGGAAUAUUGGGCAAUGGGCGCAAGCCUGACCCAGCGACACCGCGUGAGUGAUGAAGGCUUUCGGGUUGUAAAGCUCUAACACGUAUUAAGAAGGUGCAGUAUACGAAUAAUGUAUUGUAUCAGACGAAGGUACGAAAUGAAGUCAUGGCUAACUCUGUGCCAGCAGCCGCGGUAAUACAGAGAUGGCAACCGUUGUUCGGAAUCACUGGGCUUAAAGGGCACGUAGGCGGUAUGAUAAGUUGAUUGUGAAAGUAUAUGGCUUACCCAUAUAAUGUCAUUCAAAACUGUCAGACUUGAGAACGGUAGGGGGGAGUGGAACUCCUGGUGGAGCGGUGAAAUGUGUUGAUAUCAGGAGGAACGCCGGAGGCGAAAGCGACUCUCUGGGCCGAAUCUGACGCUGAGGUGCGAAAGCUAGGGUAGCGAACGGGAUUAGAUACCCUCGUAGUC